This 903-nucleotide ribosomal RNA is filed under the name uncultured Bacillota bacterium. RNAcentral describes it as "bacterial SSU rRNA". It matches the Rfam family "Bacterial small subunit ribosomal RNA", at positions 1 to 917 of the family's 1533-position model. The record is from RNAcentral. Lineage: Bacteria; Bacillati; Bacillota.
UGGAUCCAGACUUUGAUCCUGGCUCAGGACGAACGCUGGCGGCGUGCCUAACACAUGCAAGUCGAACGAGAGAUGAGGAGCUUGCUCUUCAAAUCGAGUGGCGAACGGGUGAGUAACGCGUGAGGAACCUGCCUCAAAGAGGGGGACAACAGUUGGAAACGACUGCUAAUACCGCAUAAGCCCACAGCUCGGCAUCGAGCAGAGGGAAAAGGAGUGAUCCGCUUUGAGAUGGCCUCGCGUCCGAUUAGCUAGUUGGUGAGGUAACGGCCCACCAAGGCAACGAUCGGUAGCCGGACUGAGAGGUUGAACGGCCACAUUGGGACUGAGACACGGCCCAGACUCCUACGGGAGGCAGCAGUGGGGAAUAUUGCACAAUGGGGGAAACCCUGAUGCAGCGACGCCGCGUGGAGGAAGAAGGUCUUCGGAUUGUAAACUCCUGUUGUUGAGGAAGAUAAUGACGGUACUCAACAAGGAAGUGACGGCUAACUACGUGCCAGCAGCCGCGGUAAAACGUAGGUCACAAGCGUUGUCCGGAAUUACUGGGUGUAAAGGGAGCGCAGGCGGGAGAACAAGUUGGAAGUGAAAUCCAUGGGCUCAACCCAUGAACUGCUUUCAAAACUGUUUUUCUUGAGUAGUGCAGAGGUAGGCGGAAUUCCCGGUGUAGCGGUGGAAUGCGUAGAUAUCGGGAGGAACACCAGUGGCGAAGGCGGCCUACUGGGCACCAACUGGCGCUGAGGCUCGAAAGUGUGGGUAGCAAACAGGAUUGGAUACCCUGGUAGUCCACACCGUAAACGAUGAUUACUAGGUGUUGGAGGAUUGACCCCUUCAGUGCCGCAGUUAACACAAUAAGUAAUCCACCUGGGGAGUACGACCGCAAGGUUGCAACUCAAAGGAAUUGACGGA